AAUCCAUGAAAACAACUAAGGU
This 22-nucleotide unclassified non-coding RNA is filed under the name Dictyostelium discoideum. The record is from RNAcentral. Lineage: Eukaryota; Evosea; Eumycetozoa; Dictyosteliales; Dictyosteliaceae.